This 65-nucleotide transfer RNA is filed under the name Linshcosteus costalis. RNAcentral describes it as "tRNA-Met". Lineage: Eukaryota; Metazoa; Arthropoda; Insecta; Hemiptera; Reduviidae. The record is from RNAcentral.
GGAAACUAAGAAUAUAUGAUUAUAGUGUACGUAUAUUAUACGGGCAUGGCCUGACGUCAUUUCUA